Molecule: long non-coding RNA, 1144 nt
Organism: Poecilia latipinna (sailfin molly)
Lineage: Eukaryota; Metazoa; Chordata; Actinopteri; Cyprinodontiformes; Poeciliidae
Exons: 2
Source: RefSeq, a predicted model, not a curated record
CCAUUUCUAAUCUUUAUUUGAAGCUAGGUGAGAGGGGUUUUUGUUAUUUAGCUGCUAAUGUGCGUAUAAAUAAAAUAUAGUUUUUUGCUGACUAUAAUCUAUGGUAUUAUUUUUAAUUUGAUAGAGAUUAAGUCGUUUUACAUCUAAAAUUGGCAAACUUGCUUACGCCCAAAGUGACUCACUAAUUAGCAUGUUUACCAUUACGUUAGCCUUAGCUUCCAUUGUGUGUCUUUUUCAAUAAAUCCCAUUAUCAAAAAGAUGUAUUUUUAAAAAUUUAAUAGUGGGGCAGGAGUGAUGACUUGGAUGUAAUAUUUUGCUAAAUUCUUUUAUUGCCCAAAACUGAUUCAUGCCUUAUCUACAAAACCCUGAACAGCUCUCCAACUGUAGGUUUGGCUGGUUAGCAAUGCUAGCACAGUCUCUAGCAUACUAGCUAACUACAGAGAAGGGGGUCUGUUUUGCUUAGAAACAUGCUUGUUAAAGCCCUGUUUGGCUGUUUCUAAUUAAAAUUGUCCCAGAUUUUAGGUAUUUAAUCAUGUGAAUGAAUACUGGGGAUUUGUUUUAUUUAGCUUUCAAUGCUCUCCACAUUAUAUAUUGGAGACUAAUUAAAAUGUGCUACAUUUAGUUAGAAGAACCGGUGUGUUUUGUGAGCAUUAAAUGAUGCUUUUAUGUAAGGUAACUUGUGUUUGGGAUUUAACAUAAGCAACUCUUAACUUUCUGUAAGUUUAGCAGUUCUGCAGUCUCUAAAAUAGUCACUGGGAGAUUUAGACAACCUAAAACCUUUGUUAUUUUUUCAUUUUUAGAUUUUAUUUGGGUCUCGUUACCGCUUCCCUGUCAUGUCGUCCAGGUCAUGUGGUCUACUGUUUCAGCCUUUUGGAAAGCGUCUCGUUUGAAGCCGAUUGUUAAGAUGUUGUGACAGUUGUGUGAACCCUGUGAAAUUAACAAUGUCUUAGCGGCACAGCUCACUGAUUGCAUUGAGACUAAGAUGUAGGAAGUCAGCUGUGGAGAAGCCCUUCAUAUAUAUAUUUUUUUUCUUGUGGGGUUGGGGCUUGUAGGAGAGGCUGUUUGCUGGGAAUUGUUUGAAACCCUGUUGUCUCAUAGAUCAGAUCAAAGAGCACUCAGUGAGGCAAUAAACUGGUGAAAAGAG